RNAcentral lists this ribosomal RNA (699 nucleotides) under uncultured Clostridium sp. Its description in RNAcentral is "bacterial SSU rRNA". It matches the Rfam family "Bacterial small subunit ribosomal RNA", at positions 775 to 1482 of the family's 1533-position model. Lineage: Bacteria; Bacillati; Bacillota; Clostridia; Eubacteriales; Clostridiaceae. The record is from RNAcentral.
GGAUUAGAUACCCUAGUAGUCCACGCCGUAAACGAUGAGUACUAAGUGUUGGAUGUCAAAGUUCAGUGCUGCAGUUAACGCAAUAAGUACUCCGCCUGAGUAGUACGUUCGCAAGAAUGAAACUCAAAGGAAUUGACGGGGGCCCGCACAAGCGGUGGAGCAUGUGGUUUAAUUCGAAGCAACGCGAAGAACCUUACCAGGUCUUGACAUACUCAUAAAGGCUCCAGAGAUGGAGAGAUAGCUAUAUGAGAUACAGGUGGUGCAUGGUUGUCGUCAGCUCGUGUCGUGAGAUGUUGGGUUAAGUCCCGCAACGAGCGCAACCCUUAUCGUUAGUUACCAUCAUUAAGUUGGGGACUCUAGCGAGACUGCCAGUGACAAGCUGGAGGAAGGCGGGGAUGACGUCAAAUCAUCAUGCCCCUUAUGACCUGGGCUACACACGUGCUACAAUGGAUGGUGCAGAGGGAAGCGAAGCCGCGAGGUGAAGCAAAACCCAUAAAACCAUUCUCAGUUCGGAUUGUAGUCUGCAACUCGACUACAUGAAGUUGGAAUCGCUAGUAAUCGCGAAUCAGCAUGUCGCGGUGAAUACGUUCUCGGGCCUUGUACACACCGCCCGUCACACCACGAGAGUUGAUAACACCCGAAGCCGGUGGCCUAACCGCAAGGAAGGAGCUGUCUAAGGUGGGAUUGAUGAUUGGGGUG